This 478-nucleotide ribosomal RNA is filed under the name uncultured bacterium. RNAcentral describes it as "partial 16S ribosomal RNA". It matches the Rfam family "Bacterial small subunit ribosomal RNA", at positions 28 to 523 of the family's 1533-position model. The record is from RNAcentral.
GACGAACGCUGGCGGCGUGCUUAACACAUGCAAGUCGAACGGUAAGGCCCUUCGGGGUACACGAGUGGCGAACGGGUGAGUAACACGUGGGUGAUCUGCGCUGCACUUCGGGAUAAGCCUGGGAAACUGGGUCUAAUACCGGAUAGGACCCUGGGAUGCAUGUCCUGGGGUGGAAAGCUUUUGCGGUGUGGGAUGGGCCCGCGGCCUAUCAGCUUGUUGGUGGGGUGAUGGCCUACCAAGGCGACGACGGGUAGCCGGCCUGGGAGGGUGACCGGCCACACUGGGACUGAGAUACGGCCCAGACUCCUACGGGAGGCAGCAGUGGGGAAUAUUGCACAAUGGGCGCAAGCCUGAUGCAGCGACGCCGCGUGAGGGAUGACGGCCUUCGGGUUGUAAACCUCUUUCAGCACCGACGAAGCGCAAGUGACGGUAGGUGCAGAAGAAGGACCGGCCAACUACGUGCCAGCAGCCGCCGCAG